Long non-coding RNA from Octopus sinensis (East Asian common octopus), 273 nucleotides. RefSeq lists it as uncharacterized. The record is from RefSeq and is a predicted model, not a curated record. The transcript is spliced from 3 exons. NCBI's taxonomy places the organism in Eukaryota, Metazoa, Mollusca, Cephalopoda, Octopoda, Octopodidae.
GACUUACUAUAGUUACAGCUUUUAGAAGCACUCUCUUGAACUUGGCAAGAGUUACUUUGGUUAAGUUGACUGUCAUAUCAGAGUGUGAAAUAGAAAUGCCCAACAUGGAUAUUUACCCAAAAUAUUGUCAAAGGAAUAUGGAAAUAGAAAAUAGCACCAUUUUUGAAAAACUUUGAGCUGAUUAUUCUAAAGAUUGAGAUUAACAAUACUGUAAUCUUCACUAAAGAUAAAGGCACAAGGCCUGAAAUUUGGUGGAAGAGAGCCAGUCGAUUA